Myotis davidii is the source of this 943-nucleotide long non-coding RNA. RefSeq lists it as uncharacterized. Lineage: Eukaryota; Metazoa; Chordata; Mammalia; Chiroptera; Vespertilionidae. The transcript has 2 exons. The record is from RefSeq and is a predicted model, not a curated record.
GCUCCCCACAUGCCUGUUAACUGGCUGUGCUGCCUGCCAUGGAUCUGAUCCCCGUCCCCAUCGGUUACAUAAAGAAACAGGCUCAAGGAAAUUCACUUCCUUAGCCCAAGGUCGCCUGUCUAGAAAGGGUUGAGCAGGGUAAAGUACACACAAAAGCAACAUCACUUUUGUGCCUGGAAAACACCCACAGUGCAGUGACGGAGUGGGGUGGUGGGAAUAACCACUGCAGUGACCUGAAGGCAGAACCUGAGUAGGGGUGCACAAGUGGGGAGAAUGCUGCAAGUGGCAGGAAUGACGGUGCCCAGGUUGAAGGAGAGGACAUGGUAUGUCUAAGUAAUGACCUCUGUGCCGGAAUUGUUUUUGGUUAUGAUUUCAAACUUGGGUCAAGAAGCUUCUCUCACUGAUGUUCCAAUCCCCAACUCCAUCCUCUCCUUCCCAACCCUGACCACCUAACCACAAGCCUUCCUUGUCCCUCUUUUAUUCACACUCUCUACACCCCAGUAAAUGAGAGGGGCUGGGAGUGGACCUGCUGGGAGGAGCGCUGGGAAGGCUUGUGAGCAUGCAAGCACAAGUGUAUGUCAAAUCGGGGCCAGCAGUGGCCAAUAGUUUACAUUAGAAAUAUGAAGUAGACUAUUUUCCAUUUUAUAAUUUUUUAGUUUUCUUGAUGUCUUUGGAGCAUAUUAAACAUCUAAUAAUGCUUUUGAUUUGCAGAUUCUGGACAUAUCUUUAAAUGGAGGAAAAUUAACAUCAAUAACUAUGUGAAAUGGGGCCAAGAGGAACCGAGUAGAAGCACUUGGCCAUAUGUCGAUGUCGCUUCGUGGGAAGGGAGAUGAAUAGGUUUGGGGGUUGAUGGAGAAUCAAGAGGUGAGUUUUAGACAUGUUGAAUUGAUAUGCCUGUGCGAAAACUUGUAAGUGUGCAUUAAAUCAAAAGUAUUCCUGAGUA